GCUGAACACAGGGGAUGGCAAAGGCCUAGUGAAGAGUCCAGAUGUAGACUUAAAGAGCUCUGGAAUCUCCUCCAAGGGUUCAGCCAGAAGCCAUCUGACUGGCUAUGACCAGUAUUGGGGACUUUAUUCUUCCAAAGGCAGUCUAUCCAAUUUUUGGACCACUCUGAUGGUGUCAGAGGCCUUCUGUAGAUUGAGCUCAAAUAACUCACUUCUAGUUGUCUUAGGUCAACAAUGUGUGGCCACAGAGAUUAAGUCAAACUCCUCUUCAUCUCUGUGCUGUUCCUGAAUUUGCCAGCCUUCCAGGUUUCUGAGUUGUUGAUAAACACCGCACAGGAGACAUGAGGACAGAACCCUUCAGUGGAGACCUGUUUGGAUAUUGCAGGGGCUUUCUGUGCCCCGCCUAUGCGUGAUUUCAGCGCUGUGCUUUCAGAGGCAUUUGUAGCAGUGUUGGCAACUGAUUUCAGUGGUCCAGUGUCCAGAUAAUUGGAGUGGCAGUGGAGGCUGAUGUCCGAAUAGUCCGAAUAGUCCCUGAGAUGGUGUGUUCUGGACCUCAGGUACUCCAGUGGCAAGCUGCUGGUUCCUCACCAUCCUGAUUGUGACAAAGGUCACAUGAUUAUCUGCGAUGUUUCAGGAGUCAUUUCUACAUACUCAAUCUAGAGUCCUGCCUUCAGCCCUUCCAAUAAUUUUUAAAGUACUUAAUUCCAGUAUUAACUCCCUUUGUGCCUCAAAAUUCCUAUGGUGAUUUCUGAUUCCUGCAUUAAACUUUUUUUAUACAGAUGAGUAAAUGGCGUCUUAGAGAGUAUUUUAAAAGGUUGUCCAGCUAAUAAGAGGUAGAUCAAGAACUCUAUGCCAAUUAGAUUAAAAAGUGCUCCAAAAUUUAGAACUAGAG
RNAcentral lists this long non-coding RNA (889 nucleotides) under Homo sapiens (human). Its description in RNAcentral is "HSALNT0330040". The record is from RNAcentral. Lineage: Eukaryota; Metazoa; Chordata; Mammalia; Primates; Hominidae.